UUAUGUUGUGACCUCUGAGCUCCAGAUUGGGACAGAGGGAAUCAGCAUAAUUUUUUGUGGUGCAUUUACUUGAUUGGUGCUUGGGGAUGUUUGAGGCAGAUUUGUUUCCGUCGUUUUGAGGCCAGCUUGCUGGUACCCAAACGGUGUUAGCAUUUUUUGUCUUGGGCAUUUGAGUAUGGCUUACGGGCAUUUAUUGGUUCGAUCUGAGUGUAAGUUACGGUCGCAUGCGACACGUGCUUUUCAAUUAGUUCGGUCCAGUUAAUGCUCUCGUACUCGUUCCCCAUGUAAAAGCCGGUCAUCUAUCCGACCCGUCUUGAAACACGGACCAAGGAGUUUAUCGUGUGCGCAAGUUUUUGGGUGUUAAAAACUUAAAAGCGAAAUGAAAGUAAAUGACUCUUUAGAGUCUGAUGUGCGAUCUUGUAAAAAAGUGUAGCAUGGCCCCAUUCUAACUGUUUACAGUAGGGUGGCGGAAGAGCGUACGCGGUGAGACCCGAAAGAUGGUGAACUAUUCCUGAGCAGGACGAAGCCAGAGGAAACUCUGGUGGAAGUCCGAAGCGGUUCUGACGUGCAAAUCGAUCGUCUGACUUGGGUAUAGGGGCGAAAGACUAAUCGAACCAUCUAGUAGCUGGUUCCUUCCGAGGAA
RNAcentral lists this ribosomal RNA (643 nucleotides) under Meloidogyne incognita (southern root-knot nematode). RNAcentral's name for it is "partial large subunit ribosomal RNA". It matches the Rfam family "Eukaryotic large subunit ribosomal RNA", at positions 451 to 968 of the family's 3401-position model. The record is from RNAcentral. Lineage: Eukaryota; Metazoa; Nematoda; Chromadorea; Rhabditida; Meloidogynidae.